CGUCGAAAAGUCAAAAAAAUUUAUCAAAAAAUGUUUCCAUUUUUCAUCGACUAACUGCAUUUAGAAAUGGUUUGAACUUGCAGUCGUCGUCAAUUCACUGUUUUUCUUGAUAUGAACUCCAAAUUUAAAAAAAGAUUUUUUAUGAAACGGCUCGAAGUAAAUUACGGACCCAAUUAGACGGAUGUAAGAUUAAACAGUGUCAUCGUAUAAAUCCUUUGACAUGAAGAUGUCGCAAUAGCCGGCGAGUGGAGUACUCCCCGUAAUUGUAUUCAAAGAAUGUCAUAACGAGCACGAAACUUAACUGGGGAGUUGUGGAGAUAAGGCCGGGAGAUAUUUCGCAAAUUCCGUCUUCACACCUCGCAUUCCAGAAUGGCAUCCCUUCUGCACUUCACUGGGACCAUUAUGCCGUU
Molecule: long non-coding RNA, 410 nt
Organism: Tribolium castaneum (red flour beetle)
Lineage: Eukaryota; Metazoa; Arthropoda; Insecta; Coleoptera; Tenebrionidae
Exons: 3
Source: RefSeq, a predicted model, not a curated record